GAUGAACGCUGGCGGCGUGCCUAAUACAUGCAAGUCGAGCGAACAGACGAGGAGCUUGCUCCUCUGACGUUAGCGGCGGACGGGUGAGUAACACGUGGAUAACCUACCUAUAAGACUGGGAUAACUUCGGGAAACCGGAGCUAAUACCGGAUAAUAUAUUGAACCGCAUGGUUCAAUAGUGAAAGACGGUUUUGCUGUCACUUAUAGCUGGAUCCGCGCCGCAUUAGCUAGUUGGUAAGGUAACGGCUUACCAAGGCGACGAUGCGUAGCCGACCUGAGAGGGGGAUCGGCCACACUGGAACGGAGACACGGACCAGACUCCUACGGGAGGCAGCAGUAGGGAAUCGUCCGCAAUGGGCGAGAGCCUGACGCAGCAACGCCGCGUGAGUGAUGAAGGUCUUCGGAUCGUAAAACUCUGUUAUUAGGGAAGAACAAAUGUGUAAGUAACUAUGCACGUCUUGACGGUACCGAAUCAGAAAGCCACGGCUAACUACGUG
Molecule: ribosomal RNA, 497 nt
Filed under: uncultured bacterium
Lineage: Bacteria
Description: partial 16S ribosomal RNA
Rfam family: Bacterial small subunit ribosomal RNA
Source: RNAcentral